GAUGAACGCUGGCGGCGUGCCUAAUACAUGCAAGUCGAGCGAACAGACGAGGAGCUUGUUCCUCUGACGUUAGCGGCGGGCGGGUGAGUAACACGUGGAUAACCUACCUAUAAGACUGGGAUAACUUCGGGAAACCGGAGCUAAUACCGGAUAAUAUAUUGAACCGCAUGGUUCAAUAGUGAAAGACGGUUUUGCUGUCACUUAUAGAUGGAUCCGCGCCGCAUUAGCUAGUUGGUAAGGUAACGGCUUACCAAGGCGACGAUGCGUAGCCGACCUGAGAGGGUGAUCGGCCACACUGGAACUGAGACACGGUCCAGACUCCUACGGGAGGCAGCAGUAGGGAAUCUUCCGCAAUGGGCGAAAGCCUGACGGAGCAACGCCGCGUGAGUGAUGAAGGUCUUCGGAUCGUAAAACUCUGUUAUUAGGGAAGAACAAAUGUGUAAGUAACUAUGCACGUCUUGACGGUACCUAAUCAGAAAGCCACGGCUAACUACGUG
Molecule: ribosomal RNA, 497 nt
Filed under: uncultured bacterium
Lineage: Bacteria
Description: partial 16S ribosomal RNA
Rfam family: Bacterial small subunit ribosomal RNA
Source: RNAcentral